RNAcentral lists this ribosomal RNA (936 nucleotides) under Triticum aestivum (bread wheat). Its description in RNAcentral is "partial small subunit ribosomal RNA". The record is from RNAcentral. Lineage: Eukaryota; Viridiplantae; Streptophyta; Magnoliopsida; Poales; Poaceae.
AUGAGAUGUGCAAGAUCACCGAUUCACGUGAAGCGAGCUAGGCGACAUCCAAAAGCAAGUGGCGCCCGUUCGUCCGUGAACCGAUGCUCAUCAAAUUCGAUCGUUCCAACAGCAAAAGAUCGAUCGAGGCAAGCAUGCAUGUCUCAUCCCGGACCCGGAGCAUCUGUAUAUAUAUACAUGCCAAAUCUGGGGGGAGUUACACCCAUCCAUUCAUGUGCGAGCUCUGAAGCCCUUCACACACCACUGAGAGACAGCAUGGGAACAAUGGCGCCCUCACCUGCUCUGCUGCCAGUGCUCCUCCUCCUGCCCCUGCUGCUCCUCUCCGUCGUCUGUACUGCAGGCGCAGCGCCGGCAGCAACAGCAACGGUGCCAACGAUACCAUCUCAGCCCGGCAAGCCGAACUCGAACAACAAGCAGAAGCAGGGGGGCGCGCCGCUGGGGCCGGCGGUGCGCGCGCUGGUGCAGUCCACCUGCAACGCCACCACCUACUACGACCUCUGCGUGGCCGCGCUCGUGGCGGACCCCGCCAGCUCCACCGCCGACCUCCGCGGCCUCUGCGCCAUCGCCGUCUCCGCGGCGGCCGCCAACGCCUCCGCCACCGCGUCCGCGCUCGCCAACACCACCUGGGCCGCCUCGGGCGCCCCAGAGCCGGGCAGCGACGGGCGCGCGCAGCAGGUGCCGGCGCUCCUGACGAGGACCUGCGCCGGCAAGUACGGCGAGGCGCGGGAGGCGCUGCUGGAGGCCCGGGAGUCGGUGGGCGAGGAGGCGUACGACUACGCGUUCGUGCACGUGGGCGCCGCCGCCGAGUACCCCGCGGUGUGCCGGACGAUGUUCCGGAGGAAGCGGGUGCCCUACCCCGUGGAGCUGGCCCGGCGGGAGGAGGCGCUGGAGCACCUCUGCACCGUCGUCAUCGACAUCAUCACGCUCCUCGCCUAG